GGAACUUGAGGACGGGCGACGGCUGACUCUUAAUCAGCGGGUCAUAGGUUCGAGUCCUACAAGGGGCA
This 68-nucleotide transfer RNA is filed under the name Planctomycetales bacterium. Its description in RNAcentral is "tRNA-Lys". The record is from RNAcentral. Lineage: Bacteria; Pseudomonadati; Planctomycetota; Planctomycetia; Planctomycetales.